RNAcentral lists this ribosomal RNA (491 nucleotides) under uncultured bacterium. Its description in RNAcentral is "bacterial SSU rRNA". It matches the Rfam family "Bacterial small subunit ribosomal RNA", at positions 30 to 513 of the family's 1533-position model. The record is from RNAcentral.
AUUGAACGCUGGCGGCAUGCCUUACACAUGCAAGUCGAGCGGUAGAGAGGUGCUUGCAUCUCUUGAGAGCGGCGGACGGGUGAGUAAUGCCUAGGAAUCUGCCUAGUGGUGGGGGAUAACGUUCGGAAACGGACGCUAAUACCGCAUACGUCCUACGGGAGAAAGCGGGGGAUCUUCGGACCUCGCGCCAUUAGAUGAGCCUAGGUCGGAUUAGCUAGUUGGUGAGGUAAUGGCUCACCAAGGCGACGAUCGGUAGCUGGUCUGAGAGGAUGACCAGCCACACUGGAACUGAGACACGGUCCAGACUCCUACGGGAGGCAGCAGUGGGGAAUAUUGGGACAAUGGGGGGAACCCUGAUCCAGCAAUGCCGCGUGUGUGAAGAAGGCCUGAGGGUUGUAAAGCACUUUCAGUGGGGAGGAGGGUUGAUAGGUUAAGAGCUAAUUAACUGGACGUUACCUAUAGAAGAAGCACCGGCUAACUCCGUGCCAGCA